CUUGCGCUUCUAUUUCGUUGGUUUCUAGGACGCGAGUAAUGAUUAAUAGGGAUAGUUGGGGGCAUUCAUAUUUAAUUGUCAGAGGUGAAAUUCUUAGAUUUAUGAAAGAUGAACUUCUGCGAAAGCAUUUGCCAAGGAUGUUUUCAUUAAUCAAGAACGAAAGUUAGGGGAUCGAAGACGAUCAGAUACCGUCGUAGUCUUAACCAUAAACUAUGCCGACUAGGGAUUGGCGGAUGUUCCAUUUACGACUCCUUCAGCACCUUUAGCGAAAGCAAAGUUUUUGGGUUCCGGGGGGAGUAUGGUCGCAAGGCUGAAACUUAAAGGAAUUGACGGAAGGGCACCACCAGGAGUGGAGCCUGCGGCUUAAUUUGACUCAACACGGGGAAACUC
This 390-nucleotide ribosomal RNA is filed under the name Eukaryota sp. RNAcentral's name for it is "SSU rRNA". It matches the Rfam family "Eukaryotic small subunit ribosomal RNA", at positions 827 to 1216 of the family's 1831-position model. The record is from RNAcentral.